RNAcentral lists this ribosomal RNA (492 nucleotides) under uncultured bacterium. RNAcentral describes it as "partial 16S ribosomal RNA". It matches the Rfam family "Bacterial small subunit ribosomal RNA", at positions 29 to 507 of the family's 1533-position model. The record is from RNAcentral.
AGUGAACGCUGGCGGUAGGCCUAACACAUGCAAGUCGAACGGCAGCACAGUAAGAGCUUGCUCUUACGGGUGGCGAGUGGCGGACGGGUGAGGAAUACAUCGGAAUCUACUUUUUCGUGGGGGAUAACGUAGGGAAACUUACGCUAAUACCGCAUACGACCUACGGGUGAAAGCAGGGGAUCUUCGGACCUUGCGCGAUUGAAUGAGCCGAUGUCGGAUUAGCUAGUUGGCGGGGUAAAGGCCCACCAAGGCGACGAUCCGUAGCUGGUCUGAGAGGAUGAUCAGCCACAAUGGAAUUGAGAGACGGUCCAGACUCCUACGGGAGGCAGCAGUGGGGAAUAUUGGACAAGGGGCGCAAGCCGGAUCCAGCCAGACCGCGUGGUGGAAGAAGGCCUUCGGGUGGUAAAGCCCUUUUGUUGGGAAAGAAAAGCAGCAGGUUAAUACCCCGCUGUUCUGACGGUACCCAAAGAAUAAGCACCGGCUAACUUCGUG